CCUACGGGAGGCAGCAGUGGGGAAUUUUCCGCAAUGGGCGAAAGCCUGACGGAGCAAUACCGCGUGAGGGAGGAAGGCUCUUGGGUUGUAAACCUCUUUUCUCAGGGAAGAUAAUGACGGUACCUGAGGAAUAAGCAUCGGCUAACUCCGUGCCAGCAGCCGCGGUAAUACGGAGGAUGCAAGCGUUAUCCGGAAUGAUUGGGCGUAAAGCGUCCGCAGGUGGUUUUGAAAGUCUGCUGUUAAAGCGUGCGGCUUAACCGCAUAAGGGCAGUGGAAACUAUGAGACUAGAGUGCGUUAGGGGCAGAGGGAAUUCCCAGUGUAGCGGUGAAAUGCGUAGAGAUUGGGAAGAACACCGGUGGCGAAGGCGCUCUGCUAUACCGUAACUGACACUGAGGGACGAAAGCUAGGGGAGCGAAUGGGAUUAGAUACCCCAGUAGUCCUAGCCGUAAACGAUGGAUACUAGGCGUUGUCUGUAUCGACCCGGACAGUGCCGUAGCUAACGCGUUAAGUAUCCCGCCUGGGGAGUACGCNGCGACGUGUGAACGACGAAGAAGUAGACGCGUGAGAGNGCGAGACGACGACGAGGAGAGG
Molecule: ribosomal RNA, 592 nt
Filed under: uncultured bacterium
Lineage: Bacteria
Description: bacterial SSU rRNA
Rfam family: Bacterial small subunit ribosomal RNA (bases 1-519)
Source: RNAcentral